RNAcentral lists this ribosomal RNA (113 nucleotides) under Diaphorina citri (Asian citrus psyllid). The record is from RNAcentral. Lineage: Eukaryota; Metazoa; Arthropoda; Insecta; Hemiptera; Psyllidae.
GAUAGCGGGGUAGCAUGUUAAAUGCACCAGUUCCCAAUCGAUCACUGAAGUUAAGCAACGUUGCGCGUGGUUGGUAUCUAGAUGACAAUCUGGGCCAUCGCGUAUUGCUGGCU